RNAcentral lists this ribosomal RNA (389 nucleotides) under uncultured Aeromonas sp. RNAcentral describes it as "bacterial SSU rRNA". It matches the Rfam family "Bacterial small subunit ribosomal RNA", at positions 636 to 1024 of the family's 1533-position model. The record is from RNAcentral. Lineage: Bacteria; Pseudomonadati; Pseudomonadota; Gammaproteobacteria; Aeromonadales; Aeromonadaceae.
UUCAGCUAGAGUCUUGUAGAGGGGGGUAGAAUUCCAGGUGUAGCGGUGAAAUGCGUAGAGAUCUGGAGGAAUACCGGUGGCGAAGGCGGCCCCCUGGACAAAGACUGACGCUCAGGUGCGAAAGCGUGGGGAGCAAACAGGAUUAGAUACCCUGGUAGUCCACGCCGUAAACGAUGUCGAUUUGGAGGCUGUGUCCUUGAGACGUGGCUUCCGGAGCUAACGCGUUAAAUCGACCGCCUGGGGAGUACGGCCGCAAGGUUAAAACUCAAAUGAAUUGACGGGGGCCCGCACAAGCGGUGGAGCAUGUGGUUUAAUUCGAUGCAACGCGAAGAACCUUACCUGGCCUUGACAUGUCUGGAAUCCUGUAGAGAUACGGGAGUGCCUUCGGG